AAACAACAAACUAUAGAAGAAAUACGAAAAAUAGAAGAAACUAAAAAUAAUAGGAUUGCUGAAUUAGAAAAAGAACUACAAAUGUUAAAAGAUUUGUAUGAACAAAGACAAAAAGAAAAAGAAGAAAAAGAUAGAGAACAAAAAUUACUGAACGAGAUAAAUCAAUUUAAGAAAAAAUUGAAAAUAAAAAACAAAGAAUUAGAAAUAAAUAAUAUAGAUGUUGAAAAGACAGAUAAUUAUGAUUCAGAAGAUAGUGAAACAUAUACAGAAAUAUUAACAAAUACAAAAAAUUUAGAAAUCAAUGAAAAACAAGAAGUAAUUAAUGAAG
Molecule: long non-coding RNA, 328 nt
Filed under: Capsicum annuum
Lineage: Eukaryota; Viridiplantae; Streptophyta; Magnoliopsida; Solanales; Solanaceae
Description: long non-coding RNA (CANN_LNC010012)
Source: RNAcentral